RNAcentral lists this ribosomal RNA (255 nucleotides) under uncultured bacterium. RNAcentral's name for it is "partial 16S ribosomal RNA". It matches the Rfam family "Bacterial small subunit ribosomal RNA", at positions 524 to 776 of the family's 1533-position model. The record is from RNAcentral.
UACGUAGGGUGCAAGCGUUGUCCGGAAUUACUGGGCGUAAAGAGUUCGUAGGCGGUUUGUCACGUCGUUUGUGAAACUCACAGCUCAACUGUGAGCCUGCAGGCGAUACGGGCAGACUUGAGUACUGCAGGGGAGACUGGAAUUCCUGGUGUAGCGGUGAAAUGCGCAGAUAUCAGGAGGAACACCGGUGGCGAAGGCGGGUCUCUGGGCCGAUGACUGACGCUGGAGGAGCGAAAGCCGUGGGGAGCGAACAGG